UAAUUUUGUAAAGUUAAACCUUAAUUUUAAAAGAUGCAGAGAAAGAGAAGACAGUGAAGAGAUGAAGAAAGAAAGAAAGAAAGAGAAUAAUGAGAGACAGGGUUUGUGUGUGCUAGGAAUUUAGUGUGGUCAGCUUUUGAAUUUAUCGGUAAAUGGUGAAUUAUCACUGCCGUUAAGCAAAAGAUCUGCUGCUACUGCAACUUCACUGUUACUGCUACUGCAUGCAUGGUUGGAAACCCCAUAACUCUCACUCUUUUCUGCUCUCCCUAUUCAAAUCCUCAGGUGACGUAAUCUUCUACCUCUCCCUCUGUCAACAAUUAUUUUUUUCUCAUCAUUUUCCUCUUUACUUCUCCUUUUAAUAUACUAACUAAUAACUUUUUUUU
RNAcentral lists this long non-coding RNA (383 nucleotides) under Vigna radiata. RNAcentral's name for it is "long non-coding RNA (VRAD_LNC002816)". Lineage: Eukaryota; Viridiplantae; Streptophyta; Magnoliopsida; Fabales; Fabaceae. The record is from RNAcentral.